GUUUAUAGUAAUCGAGACCAUCUUGGACCAUCCCCUUAUUAAAAAGCACAACUUUAUAUAAUGGUUUACAUUAUGCCAUAAUUCCAUAAAGAUGAAUGUGUCUAUCCUUUUCCGAGAAUUUGUCGGGACAAUAAAAUUAUGGGGAAAAAGAAAAGAAAAAAAAACCCAAUAACAAUAUGCCCCCUCGACCUUUGAAAGGGAUAACAUAGAACGCCCUAUAGCAGAUGCAAGGUUAUUAAACAAUAGGGGAUCAUAUAGACAGACACAGGGAUCCUAUAGAACGCACUAUAGAAUAUGCGCGAUUAUUAAACAAAAGGGGAUCAUAUAGACCGCCAAGGUAUAAACAAUAGGGGAUCCUAUAGACAGACCCGGGGAUCCUAUAGAACGCACUAUAGAAUAUGCGCGAUUAUUAAACAAAAGGGG
Molecule: long non-coding RNA, 423 nt
Filed under: Mytilus galloprovincialis (Mediterranean mussel)
Lineage: Eukaryota; Metazoa; Mollusca; Bivalvia; Mytilida; Mytilidae
Source: RNAcentral